UACGAAGGGGGCUAGCGUUGUUCGGAAUCACUGGGCGUAAAGCGUAUGUAGGCGGAUCGUUAAGUCGGGGGUGAAAUCCUGGAGCUCAACUCCAGAACUGCCUUCGAUACUGGAAAGCUCGAGUCCGGGAGAGGUGAGUGGAACUGCGAGUGUAGAGGUGAAAUUCGUAGAUAUUCGCAAGAACACCAGUGGCGAAGGCGGCUCACUGGCCCGGUACUGACGCUGAGGUGCGAAAGCGUGGGGAGCAAACAGG
RNAcentral lists this ribosomal RNA (253 nucleotides) under uncultured bacterium. RNAcentral describes it as "partial 16S ribosomal RNA". It matches the Rfam family "Bacterial small subunit ribosomal RNA", at positions 524 to 776 of the family's 1533-position model. The record is from RNAcentral.